UCCCUGGAGGAAUAGUGGUUAGGCCACGGUGCCCUCACCACCGUGACUCGGGUUCGAAUCCCGGGCCGGGGAC
Non-coding RNA from Pangasius djambal, 73 nucleotides. NCBI's taxonomy places the organism in Eukaryota, Metazoa, Chordata, Actinopteri, Siluriformes, Pangasiidae. The record is from the annotation of a GenBank genome assembly.